This 574-nucleotide long non-coding RNA is filed under the name Sorghum bicolor (sorghum). RNAcentral describes it as "long non-coding RNA (SBIC_LNC003999)". The record is from RNAcentral. Lineage: Eukaryota; Viridiplantae; Streptophyta; Magnoliopsida; Poales; Poaceae.
GGUUGAGGCGGUGCUCGCCGGCGCCGGUGAUGGUGAUGAGGUGCACGCGGCCUCGCCUCUCGACGGUGCACAGGUCCUUGUUGGUCGCCAUUGGUGGGUGAUUUGGGGAUGCAGCAGCCGUGACACUGUGUUCCGACAAGUCUACUCCGUAUGCUGUUUGCUUUUUAUCUUUGGGUUCAAUUCUUUUUUAACUCGUUUUUUUUUAAUUUUUUAUGAUCGAUCAGAGUUUGAGACAAGCGUCCUAUGUGAUGCAUACUAUAUGGGCUAUGGCGGCUAACUUUCCACGUGAGACGCGCUCAAGAAAAAAACUUUCCACGUGAGACGAGGCGAUGGACGAUAAAACUGAAGAAAGAUGUUCUUCAAUCUUUGAGCCAUAAAGAAUACACACAGUGUGACUUUUAAACCGAUGUUGAAACGUUCUCUCGUAGCACAGAUGAUUCUACUCUAUUUGCUUUGAUGCCUUUGAGAUCAAUUCUUUUUUAAUAACUAUAAUUAAAGAUCAGUUUUUAAAUAGAGUUUGAGACGAGCGUCCUAUGCGAUGCACAUGACGAAUAACUUCCUUUCCAAGACGAGG